AUAUUUCUACUUAUUAGAAGGCGGAAUACAUGCACCUCUUCGUCAAUAUGUGUUUCCUUGAGUUCCUAGUUUGUUUGGGAUAUUUUUGUAAGUUUAUCAAUAUACAGCUCAAACUUAUAAUUGGUAACUCUUUCUAAUGUUUCCAACACGUGGGAUCCCGAUUCCUCAAAGCUAAAAACUCAUUCAACAGAACUUGUUAGAACCAUCCACUUCUAAGUUGGGCAUCAAUUGCCCCAAAAUCUACCGAACCUCACCUAAUAAUUUAACGAAAUUAGAGCAAUUAGCAUUUUCCCGAUUCACAUCUACCACAAAGAGUAGGUUUAUUCCAAUCACUCCAACAUUUCAUUUUAUUUAUGCUUUCUAUUCAACUUUUUCUUCUUCUACAAAAAGACCAGAUCUUAGGGGUUUUGUCUUGAUAGCGAUCUUUUCUUCAUUUUCGUCUUAAGAUCCAUUUCAAAAAGGUGAAAACAAGCUGAGGUUGAGUUUUAAUUUGUUCUAUGUUUUUUAUUAAUUUAUUUUGGAUUUCUUAUGUGAAUUCAAAGUUCUCUUUAUUUUAUUUUUUCUGCGAUUAUACUUUCUUUAAGUAGGAAUUGUUAGAAGUUCAUCAAUAUGCCUGCUUUCCGAAGGGAAAUUUCGUCUUCACAAUGUUAUUAUGCCAUGCACAAUUCCAGUGGUAUUCCUGUACCGACGGAUUUGAGUUGUUUAGAGAGAGGCUACAUAGGUAAUUUCACAGGCUAACCUGACUUCACCGCUUAAUUCUCUGCAACACCAAGAUUUUCCUUCGCAUCUCUGUCAUCUCUUUGUUUAGAUUCUCUUGGCUUCUCCGCUGAUUCUGUCUUUUUGCAUGAUGCACAUCAAUUUAUGUUAUAUAUUUGUGACGACUCGUCCGGUCGGCUUAAGAAUUAACGCCCCUAUCCUCUAUUAAAUGCUUUUCUCAAGUUUAUUUCUGCUAAUUUGAUUUGCCGGGAUGUUCAGUUUUGAGUUUCGGUGAGUUUUAGGACACUUAGUCCCUAAAUGAGAGCUAAAGUUUUGAAAAGUUGUCCAUAGUCAGAGCAGUUUGAAGAUGGCCUCGCAAUGGAAAUCCAAGGAUUGUGCUACCUUCAUUAGGUGAUUUCGGGAUUAGGAGCGCAUUUGGAUUGUAUUUUGGAGGUCUGUAGCUAAUUUAGACUUGAAAUGCAGAAGUUUGGAUUUGGAAGUUUUCGGUGCGAUAGUGAGAUUUUGAUCCAAGGGUCGGAAGGGAACUUUUAGAGUUGUUGUAGUUUCGUUAGAUCAUUUGGGAUGUGUGUGCAAAAUUUUAGGUCAUUCGGACGUGGUUUGGUUGGGUUUUUGAUCGGAAGCGUAUUUCGGAUGUUUUAAGAAAACUUAGGCUUGAAUUCGAUGCGAAUCGACAGAUUUGGUUUUGUUUGAGGUGUUUUGAUGAUUGGAACAAGUUUAACUGAGGUUUUAGGGGGUGCUAGUAUUUUUGGUUGAGGUCCGGGGGGCCUCAGGUGAGUUUCGAUGGUCAAUCGGACCAUUUUCCAAGUUAAAGUGUUGCAGAAAUUGAUCAUCAGUUGUUGUAGAAGAAUUGACCUUCAUGAUAGCGUGGGGCUGGUCGCGACUGCUUAGAAGGGAUAUGGUAGGCCAGGAUUUAGACCUUCGCAUUCGCAUAAGGUGGCUCGCGGUCACGGAAGGUGAGGGGUCUAUGCUUCGCGUUUGCAGGGGAAGGUAUGUGUUCGCGUAUAUGAAUUUAGGUCCUAGGGCAUUUCUCCUCGUAUUCGCGUAUGCGGGGCCGCAUUCGCGUAGCUCUAGGAAUUAAAGCAUCGUGUUUGCAGCAGCAUUAUCGCAUUCACAUAGUGUUAUUUUGGGAAGUCGAAAUUUAGUACUUUGCGAUCGUGAGACUUGGGACGCGAUCGUGAUGAAAGAAGUUCAGAACUGGGCAGAAAGUUAAUAAAAUAUUUCAUCUGCGAUUCUGAGCCAUUUGUUUCUCUAUAGCUGAGUAUUUUAAGAGCUUUUUGAGGGAGAUUCAAGAGGGAAUCAAGGAGAAUCGAUUGGAGGUGAGAUUAUUGAACCUUAAACGUGAUUUUAUUGUGAAAAUAAUUUAGAAAUUCAUGAAAAUAUGGGGAAAAAUAGAAGAACUAGGGCUUGAAAUUUUAAAAUUUUAAUCUGUGUUUUGAGGGGUCAUUUGGACUCCGAACUUUGUGUUAUUGUUAUGUAUAGACUCAUGAGAGUAUGAGGUUUUCGAAAAUAUAAGUUUCAUCCAAUUCCGAGACGUUGGCCUGAGGGGAAUUUUGGUUAUUUUACCUAAUUUCACGUCUUAACUUUAAAUUUAAUUGUUGAAUCAGUUGUUUGAGAUGUUAUUUACGAUAUGCAAUUGAAUUGAACAUAUUUGUCCAUUUGGAGUCCGAUACUCAUGGCAAAGGCGUGAUUUCUAGUUGAUUUUGAGCCGAUUCGAGGUAAGUGGCUUGUCUAAACUUAUGUGUGGGACUUCUCCCCUUAGAAUAUGAUAUUUGGUAAUUGAAUUUCCUUGUGCAUGAGGUGACGAGCGCGUGCUUGUGCAAGUUGUUAAAAAAUCCAAUUUUCUUAAAGUAUUCCUUAGCCUGUUCCUUUUUCAUGCUUUACUGUAAUUACUGACUUAGCCUGUUGUUAGUUAGAAGAGCAUGUUUAGUUGACUUAUAUUUUCUAUUUGCUUAAACUGCCUUAAUUGCAUUAUGUGCAGGCUAGAAUUGAUUGUUUACUUAUACGGAGGUGGAAUUUAAUUUAAUAUUCGUGCGUCACUGUUGUGUAUUUUAAAUUGGGACUACAGAACGGUAUUCUGGGAGAUCCCCUGUAUAGAAGUUAUUAUUUGGACCGAGGUGCAGGAUACCAAGAGAUCUCUGUCAUUUAUUUUGAGGAUACCAAGAAAUUCUCGGGAUACUAAGAGAUCCCUACAUUUAUAUUGAGGAUACCAAGAGAUCCUCGGGAUACCAAAAGAUCCUUGGCAUUUAUAUUGAGGAUAGCAAGAGAUCCUUGGCAUUUAUAUUGAGGAUACCAAGAGAUCCUCGGGAUACCAAGAGAUCUCUGAUAUUUAUAUCGAGGAUACCAAGAGAUCCUCGGGAUACUAAGAGAUCCUCGAUUAUUAUUAUUCUUGUUAGGAGUGGUAUUUCCUUGUAUUUUGCCUUUAUUUCUGUUUUUUUUCGUUAUUGUACUCUUGUUAUCUGUAUAGACUCUUGUUGUAGAUUCUCAAUUAUACUGUUUAUCUUAUCCUGUUAUUACUAUUACUAUUUUACCUCACUAGGGCCCGAUCUUCCUUGUCACUACUCCACCGAGAUUAGGUUUGGCUCAUACUGAGUACCGCUGUGGUGUACUUAUGCCCCUUCUAUGCAUGUUUUUCAUGUGUAGAUCCAUGUAGCGCUGCCCAAGCGUAUCACCCUUGAGGCGCAGAGAUCUAGCAGAGACUUCGAGGUACAUUUGCCGCAUCCGCAGAACAAGGAGUCUCUAUGUUAUUCUAUCUUUUAGUAGUUAGCCUUCCUUCUUACUGUUGUUUUCGACAUUUUUGAGUUAGAGCAUUGUACUACAUUUCCUUCAGCUUGUGUUCCAGUGAGUUUAUGGGUUUUGGGAUAGUAUUGUAGAAGUUGAGAUAUUGUGUUGUAUGUGCCGAGUGGC
Molecule: long non-coding RNA, 3621 nt
Filed under: Nicotiana benthamiana
Lineage: Eukaryota; Viridiplantae; Streptophyta; Magnoliopsida; Solanales; Solanaceae
Description: long non-coding RNA (NBEN_LNC033347)
Source: RNAcentral